UACAGAGGUCCCAAGCGUUGUUCGGAUUCACUGGGCGUAAAGGGUGCGUAGGUGGUGACGUAAGUCGGAUGUGAAAGCUCGGAGCUCAACUCCGAAAUGGCAUUGGAAACUGCGUCGCUAGAGGGUCGGAGGGGGGACUGGAAUACUUGGUGUAGCAGUGAAAUGCGUAGAUAUCAAGUGGAACACCAGUGGCGAAGGCGAGUCCCUGGACGACUCCUGACACUGAGGCACGAAAGCUAGGGGAGCAAACAGG
This 253-nucleotide ribosomal RNA is filed under the name uncultured bacterium. Its description in RNAcentral is "partial 16S ribosomal RNA". It matches the Rfam family "Bacterial small subunit ribosomal RNA", at positions 524 to 776 of the family's 1533-position model. The record is from RNAcentral.